UACGUAGGGGGCAAGCGUUGUCCGGAAUCAUUGGGCGUAAAGCGCGCGUAGGCGGCCCGGUAAGUCCGCUGUGAAAGUCCAGGGCUCAACCCUGGAAAGCCGGUGGAUACUGUCGGGCUCGAGUCCGGAAGAGGCGAGUGGAAUUCCUGGUGUAGCGGUGGAAUGCGCAGAUAUCAGGAGGAACACCGAUGGCGAAGGCAGCUCGCUGGGACGGUACUGACGCUGGGGCGCGAAAGCGUGGGGAGCGAACAGG
This 253-nucleotide ribosomal RNA is filed under the name uncultured bacterium. RNAcentral's name for it is "partial 16S ribosomal RNA". It matches the Rfam family "Bacterial small subunit ribosomal RNA", at positions 524 to 776 of the family's 1533-position model. The record is from RNAcentral.